This 1002-nucleotide long non-coding RNA is filed under the name Canis lupus dingo (dingo). Its description in RNAcentral is "lncRNA (ENSCAFG00020019673.1)". The record is from RNAcentral. Lineage: Eukaryota; Metazoa; Chordata; Mammalia; Carnivora; Canidae.
AUGCGGGACUCGAUCCUGGGACCCCAGGAUCACGGAGGCAGGCCCCAGGAGCUGAAGGCAGACCAUCAACCACGGAGCCACCCAGAGGCCUCCUCUAGGGCGGGACUGAGAAAAGUUCUGCACCCAUUGGCCAGGGUCAAGGUGAAGUCGGAUGUGAGAGGUUCCCCAGAGAAAGUGGGCUUGGUGGUGCAGCUUGUGAGCAUCCCAGAGAUGAGGAAGGGCCGGGGUGCCCGGUGCCCCGUGCCCCCCGCCCCCCUGCCGCCGCCUCUCCCACGGUGCCCUCCACUCAGCGCCUCCCGCUCCGGCCCGGCGCCGCCCGCGCCCAUCUCCCUAGCCCAGCCCGUCACUGCGCAGGGGCCGACUGGGAGGCGCCCCGAGGACCCGGGACCCGGGACCCACCCCACACCCCAGACCGCGGAAGGCCGGGAGCCCGGGACCGGCCCCUACUUCCCGGUUGCAACAGCCGGGCAGCGAGUGUUGCCAGCCGAGGGCGUCGUGCGGCCGCCGCUCCGGGUCGGGGUCGGGGUCGGGGUCGGGGUCGGGGCUGGGGGACCAGAGGCACCGCGCACGUUGGGCGGCGGGAGGCCGGCGCCUGGAAGGGAGAGGGCCCCGUGCGCCCCAGCGCCAGCACCCGCGCCCCCAAACCCGCCACGCAGCCUCUCCCGGCCGGGCCGGCCUCCCGCGGGUCACCGCUGGCGCGCACAGCUGCAAGCCCGCGGCAGGCGCCCCCCCGGCCCCGCCCCCCCCCCCCCCCCGGCCGCCUCCCGCGCUCCCGGACGCCCGCACGCUCGCCUCGAGCGCAGAGCAGGCCGGUGCCCUGGAGUCGCGGGGCGGGGACGCGGCCGGAGCGCGGGGCACCUGGGGCGCUCGGUGGGGAGCCCCGGGCCUCCCCCCCGCCGCCGGGACGCGGAGCCGAGCACCGCGGGGACCGGGGAGCCCGAGGGGUGGCGGCGCCCGGACGCGCGGCGGCGAGUGGGAGCCAAGGAGCCAAAGUCUAAUUGA